This 370-nucleotide ribosomal RNA is filed under the name uncultured bacterium. Its description in RNAcentral is "partial 16S ribosomal RNA". It matches the Rfam family "Bacterial small subunit ribosomal RNA", at positions 338 to 722 of the family's 1533-position model. The record is from RNAcentral.
CCUACGGGAGGCAGCAGUGGGGAAUAUUGGGCAAUGGGCGCAAGCCUGACCCAGCAACGCCGCGUGAAGGAAGAAGGCCUUCGGGUUGUAAACUUCUUUUCUCAGGGACGAAGCAAGUGACGGUACCUCAGGAAUAAGUCACUGCUAACUACGUGCCAGCCGCCGCCGUAAUACGUAGGGGCCAAGCGUUAUCCGGAUUUACUGGGUGUAAAGGGCGUGUAGGCGGGACUGCAAGUCAGAUGUGAAAACCACGGGCUCAACCUGGGGACUGCAUUUGAAACUGGAGUUCUUGAGUGCUGGAGAGGCAGACGGAAUUCCUGGUGUAGCGGUGAAAUGCGUAGAUAUCAGGAGGAACACCAGUGGCGAAGGC